GGGCUGGCUUUAGCCCAGCGGUUCCCAACCGCCCUGGCCGAUAGGUCCGGUGGUUUGAGACCCGUGGGCGCUCUCCAGUCCUUUU
Unclassified non-coding RNA from Cavia aperea (Brazilian guinea pig), 85 nucleotides. Its record names the gene Vault. It matches the Rfam family "Vault RNA". From Rfam's summary of the family: This family of RNAs are found as part of the enigmatic vault ribonucleoprotein complex. The complex consists of a major vault protein (MVP), two minor vault proteins (VPARP and TEP1), and several small untranslated RNA molecules. Lineage: Eukaryota; Metazoa; Chordata; Mammalia; Rodentia; Caviidae. The record is from Ensembl.